UCAGAACCCGCGUCCCCGUUUGAUCCGUGGACCAGGAAAUUGGCUUUCCGUGUAGUGGUGGCAGCAGAAAUGAAUUGAGGGCAGGACCGAGAUUCUUCUCGGCUACGGCGUGUGUCAUUUGGAAGCUGAAGACCCGGGGACGGAGGCAACUAGCGCCGCUGGCGAGCCGCCAUGGAGUUUCUGGUGCAACCAAUUAGCAGAUUUAGUCUGCUUGAGGAGAUAGGGGAGUCGGUUCCUGUGGCUGUCAAUGUCUCUACCGUGGCGGAUCUACAAGUGGCACUGCAGGCGGAGCGGGAGGCAGCGCAACGGCGGUGGACAGCGGCGAAGCACAAAUCUUGUUGGCAAAGGAGGCGGCGGCGAACAGAAGGGAGAGCUCGCCACCAAGGUCGGAGCUGUCGACGGGGGAGAUGAAUCCCCAAGCACCGGGGUGGAACAAAAGGUGGAGAGGCAUCCCAAUGAUAGCCACAACAAGUUCAGGAAGAAUCUUGGAGCACCUUCUGUCAAGGAUUUGAACUUUUGAAGCCAUCUCUGUUCUCUUUCGGCUCCGCUUGAUGGAUGACCAAAAGUAGCUUUAUAUCCCCAUGAAAGUCUCGAAUGUUCCAGUAAGUAUUGUUCAUGUACAUUAUGAAAAUGCUAUUCGGUUUAGUCAUGUUUUUAUUCUGUCAAAUGAUGAUUUUGUUAGUAUAGUCGACAGUAAAAAGUUUAAACCCA
Long non-coding RNA from Triticum dicoccoides, 711 nucleotides. RefSeq lists it as uncharacterized. The record is from RefSeq and is a predicted model, not a curated record. NCBI's taxonomy places the organism in Eukaryota, Viridiplantae, Streptophyta, Magnoliopsida, Poales, Poaceae. The transcript is spliced from 3 exons.